This 479-nucleotide ribosomal RNA is filed under the name Trichocomaceae sp. RNAcentral describes it as "SSU rRNA". It matches the Rfam family "Eukaryotic small subunit ribosomal RNA", at positions 678 to 1160 of the family's 1831-position model. The record is from RNAcentral. Lineage: Eukaryota; Fungi; Ascomycota; Eurotiomycetes; Eurotiales; Trichocomaceae.
ACUGGUCCGGCUGGACCUUUCCUUCUGGGGAACCCCAUGGCCUUCACUGGCUGUGGGGGGAACCAGGACUUUUACUGUGAAAAAAUUAGAGUGUUCAAAGCAGGCCUUUGCUCGAAUACAUUAGCAUGGAAUAAUAGAAUAGGACGUGCGGUUCUAUUUUGUUGGUUUCUAGGACCGCCGUAAUGAUUAAUAGGGAUAGUCGGGGGCGUCAGUAUUCAGCUGUCAGAGGUGAAAUUCUUGGAUUUGCUGAAGACUAACUACUGCGAAAGCAUUCGCCAAGGAUGUUUUCAUUAAUCAGGGAACGAAAGUUAGGGGAUCGAAGACGAUCAGAUACCGUCGUAGUCUUAACCAUAAACUAUGCCGACUAGGGAUCGGACGGUGUUUCUAUUAUGACCCGUUCGGCACCUUACGAGAAAUCAAAGUUUUUGGGUUCUGGGGGGAGUAUGGUCGCAAGGCUGAAACUUAAAGAAAUUGACGGA